UAACGCGUGAGGAACCUGCCUUUCAGAGGGGGACAACAGUUGGAAACGACUGCUAAUACCGCAUGACGCAUUUUGAUCGCAUGGUCGAAAUGCCAAAGAUUUAUCGCUGAAAGAUGGCCUCGCGUCUGAUUAGCUAGUUGGUGAGGUAACGGCCCACCAAGGCGACGAUCAGUAGCCGGACUGAGAGGUUGACCGGCCACAUUGGGACUGAGAUACGGCCCAGACUCCUACGGGNGGCAGCAGUGGGGAAUAUUGGGCAAUGGGCGCAAGCCUGACCCAGCAACGCCGCGUGAAGGAAGAAGGCUUUCGGGUUGUAAACUUCUUUUAAGUGGGAAGAGUAGAAGACGGUACCACUUGAAUAAGCCACGGCUAAAUACGUGCCAGCAGCCGCGGUAAUACGUAUGGUGCAAGCGUUAUCCGGAUUUACUGGGUGUAAAGGGAGCGUAGACGGCUGUGUAAGUCUGAAGUGAAAGCCCGGGGCUCAACCCCGGGACUGCUUUGGAAACUAUGUAGCUAGAGUGUCGGAGAGGUAAGUGGAAUUCCCAGUGUAGCGGUGAAAUGCGUAGAUAUUGGGAGGAACACCAGUGGCGAAGGCGGCUUACUGGACGAUGACUGACGUUGAGGCUCGAAAGCGUGGGGAGCAAACAGGAUUAGAUACCCUGGUAGUCCACGCCGUAAAACGAUGACUACUAGGUGU
This 697-nucleotide ribosomal RNA is filed under the name uncultured bacterium. Its description in RNAcentral is "bacterial SSU rRNA". It matches the Rfam family "Bacterial small subunit ribosomal RNA", at positions 111 to 823 of the family's 1533-position model. The record is from RNAcentral.